Molecule: transfer RNA, 59 nt
Filed under: Cylindrus obtusus
Lineage: Eukaryota; Metazoa; Mollusca; Gastropoda; Stylommatophora; Helicidae
Description: tRNA-Gln
Source: RNAcentral
UUCUUUUGGGUGUGCCGCACAGGAAAAUUUGGGUUUCCAGGAACAAGCUGUAAAAGAAG